CAGAGCUACACACGGGUUUAAAUAAACUCCUUAUCAAGGUCCUCAGCGUGUGACUGGCAAGGAGUUGAUCUCUUCAGCCCAGCAGGAUCCACAGGAGAUGGGAAAGCCCAGGAGACAAAGCAGAGGCCAGGGGGUGAGGCGGGUGGAUGCAGACCUCUGUCCAGGGAGAGAGACGCAGGGGACAUAAGAAGGCGGGGCCACAGAAAGCCAUCCCCCUGGCAUACGUCUGACAGCCAGCAGCUCUGCCUCUGCCCCACCACCCACACAAACCCAGAGCUUGUCAGCGCCAUGACGGUGCAGAUGGGACAGCUGGUCUACCCUCAUUCCACCGUCACCUACUGAGGAACAGGAAAAGACAAAGACGGGGGCGAGGCGUGAUGAGAUGGCCAUGCUGAGGUCAGGGCUGAGAUGAGGUGACACGGGGCUCUCUGCAGACAGCACGAAAUGUGGCUUUAUGGACACACGGCACGUGAGGUGAAUGGACACAAGACUGACACAUGGAGACACGGGUAGGGGUGGAGAGAAGAGAGAUACAGGUUAGCUCUUGGACUCAGCCCCGCUCUGCCCCCACCAAUGCCAAGAAGCAAGGUCACAUGUCUGGGCACAGCCCCCUGGAAGGACAAUGAUCAGCAUGGAGGUCACUGGCCUUGGAGUGGACAGCGCCCCGAAAUCCUUUUCCCCUUAACCCUGCACUUUAACUUGUCAUUAAGACAGAACAUAUAUCAGAAAAGUACAUAAGUACAUAGCUCAGUGGCGUUCACCUAAAGAACAGACCUAUUGACCUGAUGAAGAAUAAAACAUAUUAUUUUA
This is a long non-coding RNA of Suricata suricatta (meerkat), 810 nucleotides long. RefSeq lists it as uncharacterized. The record is from RefSeq and is a predicted model, not a curated record. Lineage: Eukaryota; Metazoa; Chordata; Mammalia; Carnivora; Herpestidae. The transcript has 3 exons.